CAAAAGAGGAGAAGAUAAAAACAAAAGCCGUGAAAAUAUCGUGACAAAAUUGAGGUGCAGCAGUAAAUGCAAUCCUAUAGAGCAGGACCCGUCAACAAGAAGCAUGCAGAAUUUGCCUCCAGACAGAUGGAGAAGGACAAAUAUUCCACUCCGAAACCAUGGUUUGUAAGACGGAUGGCCUCGUUUAAGGAAAACAUACCAAAUCAGUGUGCCUCGGAUGGCUUAAGCUGGCUUCUGUUUCUGCCCAAAUCGUAUUCCUGCUCAAAUUCAAUCGAAGUCGGAAUUUUCAUUCGGAUAAAACGAUUUCAGUGGGAUUGGAUGAGCCUUGCACUGUAGCAACAAAAUUAGAGUAAGCAGGAAACAACAGGCGCCAGUUGAGCAUGAAUUCAAUUAGAUUUUGGAGAAAUAUAAGGACAAAUUUACGCAGCAACAAUCAGAUGGCUGAAUUAUUCCAAUGCUACCAUAUUUGAUUUCACAUUACUUUUGUGGCACUUCAUUGUUCCGAUAGCCACCUAGAACUACAUCUUCUUAUUCCGAGAUCUGGAUCUGCGACUCCAAUGAAAAUCAACAAAGGGAAGAUGCGAAGCAACUUCGUUUAAAUAAGCAGGAACAGAGUUCACAAGCCAGAUGAACUGAAUAUUGAUGCUACUGCCACCACCACCAUUGAGCGCUCUGACUGAACCUAGUAAGACUCUAAAAUUGGAGUAGAGAACACUGGAAACGAAUUCCGAUAAAACGUCCGA
Long non-coding RNA from Uranotaenia lowii, 743 nucleotides. RefSeq lists it as uncharacterized. The transcript is spliced from 4 exons. The record is from RefSeq and is a predicted model, not a curated record. Lineage: Eukaryota; Metazoa; Arthropoda; Insecta; Diptera; Culicidae.